Long non-coding RNA from Carassius auratus (goldfish), 775 nucleotides. RefSeq lists it as uncharacterized. The record is from RefSeq and is a predicted model, not a curated record. The transcript is spliced from 5 exons. NCBI's taxonomy places the organism in Eukaryota, Metazoa, Chordata, Actinopteri, Cypriniformes, Cyprinidae.
CUUAACAUGGCUUUAUAUCAUGCCUUUAAUCGUUUGUUGAGUAAUUUAUACAGAACUAGUCUGUUUUGUUGAAGUGCGGUAUCGCGACUGUUGAUAUUUUAUAACUUGAUCAUCUUUAUGGCAGAUUACGAUUCAUAGAUGCUCAUCUUUGUUUAUAGAGUAAAUUGACAAGCAGAAUGAUACCAGUUACUAAUGGAAGCCAAUUGAAAACAAGAAUGUCCACAACAGCUGGCUGGUUCUAAUGAUUGUGGGAUCUUCAUAUUGAUGGGGGGCAUAUGGAAGAACUCCAUGGCAUAGUUCAUCAGCUUCAGUGUGGGGCUGAACCAUAUGCAUUAGCAAGGUUGAGCCAGACGACAUGCAGGUCUGUCUUUUCCCGCUUGGCCUUGUGUAUCUGGUCCCUGAUCAUUGUAGUGUUCUCUACGCACCUUGAGAGGCCUGGGACUCCCUCCUUCUGGCAGUUGGUGUCGAUGUAGCCAUUCUCAAGGAGGUAGGUGGUCAUCUACGUUCAGCAGAGCAAUGUUUCUGUUCUCAUAAGGUACCAUAGCAGCUGUAGUACCUUGGUCAAUCUCCUUUUCCCUCCUUCCCUUCUUUUUUUUGUGCGGUCCUGUGGUUGGAGGUCACUUUGCCAAACCUGUUCUUGCAGGCCUGGUAUAUAGGAUGUCCACAAUCUGGUUGAGUUUGGAUUCCGCCCCCCCCUCGCAAAGAUCCCUCCAGUGUCUUAGUCAGGUCUUUAUCCAGUGUUCGCCAUGCCUCUGUGUUGCUUGCUUUUGGCCAU